This 77-nucleotide transfer RNA is filed under the name Pseudomonadota bacterium. RNAcentral's name for it is "Proteobacteria bacterium (marine sediment metagenome) tRNA-Val". It matches the Rfam family "tRNA". Rfam says of the family: Transfer RNA (tRNA) molecules are approximately 80 nucleotides in length. Their secondary structure includes four short double-helical elements and three loops (D, anti-codon, and T loops). Lineage: Bacteria; Pseudomonadati; Pseudomonadota. RNAcentral also lists the same sequence under 2 other names. The record is from RNAcentral.
GGGCCCAUAGCUCAGUUGGUGAGAGUGCCGGUCUCACAUACCGGAGGUCACUGGUUCAAGUCCAGUUGGGCCCACCA